UGCAGUCGAACGGUGAAGGCGGGAGCUUGCUCCUGCCGGAUCAGUGGCGAACGGGUGAGUAACACGUGAGUAACCUGCCCUUGACUCUGGGAUAAGCGUUGGAAACGACGUCUAAUACCGGAUACGAGCUUCAGCCGCAUGGCUAGGAGCUGGAAAGAACUUCGGUCAAGGAUGGACUCGCGGCCUAUCAGCUAGUUGGUGAGGUAAUGGCUCACCAAGGCGACGACGGGUAGCCGGCCUGAGAGGGUGACCGGCCACACUGGGACUGAGACACGGCCCAGACUCCUACGGGAGGCAGCAGUGGGGAAUAUUGCACAAUGGGCGCAAGCCUGAUGCAGCAACGCCGCGUGAGGGACGACGGCCUUCGGGUUGUAAACCUCUUUUAGCAGGGAAGAAGCGAAAGUGACGGUACCUGCAGAAAAAGCACCGGCUAACUACGUGCCAGCAGCCGCGGUAAUACGUAGGGUGCAAGCGUUGUCCGGAAUUAUUGGGCGUAAAGAGCUCGUAGGCGGUUUGUCGCGUCUGCUGUGAAAACGCGAGGCUCAACCUCGCGCCUGCAGUGGGUACGGGCAGACUAGAGUGCGGUA
RNAcentral lists this ribosomal RNA (587 nucleotides) under bacterium SVAL1.7. RNAcentral describes it as "bacterial SSU rRNA". It matches the Rfam family "Bacterial small subunit ribosomal RNA", at positions 56 to 653 of the family's 1533-position model. The record is from RNAcentral.